GCACUGGCCCGUUCUUCAUGGUCCGAUUCUUCCUUCUCUUCUUCUAUAUACCUGAGUACAAUCAAGGUACAACACUUAGGUAGUAUAUAAUUAUCAUUAAUGUUAAAAUGAAUCUCACAAAGUAGCGCGUGGACCUCUUGUUGUAGCUUCUUUGCACGACUACGUGUGAUCGGUCCAUCGAUGACUUGAGCUGGUGUCGGUGUAGGUGAAACUUGAGUGGGUGUAGCUUGACUUGGAGCUUGUGACAUCUUGCUUGGUGGCGUGGUCAUAUCACAAGUUCUCAAGUAGCGGAAGCUUCUUAGUUUGAAAGUAACACACACACAUAUUCAGUUUGAUAGUGCCAUAGUUCAGUCAUUCCCACAAAAGCAAAACAGAAGGUAGAGUGACCAUCGCCCUUGGUCUAGUCAUCGCCCAUUGCUGGGUACAAGCAGAGGAUGCAAUAACCAUAGUACAUUUGACCAUCUGCGAAACAAUAUGGGAAUAGAACCCUGAGUACGAGAAUGUACUCAGCUAGACGUACCCAUCAGAAACCAAGAAUAAAGACUCUUCAAGGAUCAUGAAGGCUGUAUAGUGGGAUAGCUCGAAAAAGGGGCAAGUGCCCGGAACCUCGAAAAGAAAGAAAAAGAGUGAGACAAGAGGUAAAAAUGGACAAGUGUCCGGAGUAGAAUUAGGGGUACAAAGAUGCCCACUUGAGCGGAAAAAAAUGGACAAGUGUCCGACAGUAGAAUUAGGGGUAUCUACUACCCAUCUGGAAAAAAGAGAGAAAAGAAAAAAAGAUAGCCCAUGUUCUCCCAAAGCAAAGAUAAAAGAAGAGGAGAGAUAGCAAUAUUAGGAGCAAUUGGAAGUAAGUUUUAAUAUCACUUAUACAUUUUUACCAUCACUAUCAUUUACUCCACCACACAUGCACAUCUUGAUUUAAUUAUAUGCUGAGUUCCUUUGGAUCCAUGGCUCAAUUAGACAACAUAUGUAUGAGCUGUUUUUCACUCCUAUGAGCUCCAUUUAAAUAUUUCAUUAGCUAUAGGUAAGUGACAUUUGAGUAAGGAUCCACAAAUUCCACAUAUAGAGAGACCUG
RNAcentral lists this long non-coding RNA (1072 nucleotides) under Sorghum bicolor (sorghum). RNAcentral describes it as "long non-coding RNA (SBIC_LNC001096)". The record is from RNAcentral. Lineage: Eukaryota; Viridiplantae; Streptophyta; Magnoliopsida; Poales; Poaceae.